AAUAAAUAUAGUUUUGUACUAUUCAUGUUCAACGUUUGACCGUUUGUCUUAUUUAAAAUUUUUUUAUGAUUAAUAUUUUUAUUGCUAUUAGAUGAUAAAACAUGAAUAUUACUUUAUGUGUGACUAAAUAUUUUUAAAUUUUUCAAUAAAAUGACGGUCAAACGUGGGGCACGAAUAACCACGACCGUAUUUAUU
This is a microRNA precursor of Oryza sativa Indica Group (long-grained rice), 195 nucleotides long. It matches the Rfam family "MIR812 microRNA precursor family". Lineage: Eukaryota; Viridiplantae; Streptophyta; Magnoliopsida; Poales; Poaceae. The record is from Rfam.